Molecule: long non-coding RNA, 554 nt
Organism: Oncorhynchus tshawytscha (Chinook salmon)
Lineage: Eukaryota; Metazoa; Chordata; Actinopteri; Salmoniformes; Salmonidae
Source: Ensembl
UGUAGAGAGGUGAUGGGGUGGCUAGAAGACAGUGUAGAGAGGUGAUGGGGUGGAUAGAAGACAGUAGAGAGGUGAUGGGGUGGCUAGAAGACAGUGUAGAGAGGUGAUGGGGUGGAUAGAAGACAGUGUAGAGAGGUGAUGGGGUGGAUAGAAGACAGUGAAGAGGUGAUGGGGUGGAUAGAAGACAGUGAAGAGAGGUGAUGGGGUGGAUAGAAGACAGUGAAAAGAGGUGAUGGGGUGGAUAGAAGACUGUAGAGAGGUGAUGGGGUGGAUAGAAGACAGUGAAGAGGUGAUGGGGUGGAUAGAAGACAGUGAAGAGGUGAUGGGGUGGAUAGAAGACAGUGAAGAGGUGAUGGGGUGGAUAGAAGACAGUGAAGAGAGGUGAUGGGGUGGAUAGAAGACAGUGAAGAGGUGAUGGGGUGGAUAGAAGACAGUAGAGAGUUGAUGGGGUGGAUAGAAGACAGUAGAGAGGUGAUGGGGUGGAUAGAAGACAGUAGAGAGGUGAUGGGGUGGAUAGAAGACAGUGAAGAGGUGAUGGGGUGGAUAGAAGACAG